This 253-nucleotide ribosomal RNA is filed under the name uncultured prokaryote. RNAcentral describes it as "partial 16S ribosomal RNA". It matches the Rfam family "Bacterial small subunit ribosomal RNA", at positions 524 to 776 of the family's 1533-position model. The record is from RNAcentral.
UACGAAGGGGGCGAGCGUUGUUCGGAUUUACUGGGCGUAAAGGGCGCGCAGGCGGCUAUCCAAGUCAGGCGUGAAAGCCCCGGGCUUAACCCCGGGUCUGCAUUCGAUACGGGCUAGCUAGAGUGUGGUAGGGGAGAUCGGAAUUCCUGGUGUAGCGGUGAAAUGCGCAGAUAUCAGGAGGAACACCGGUGGCGAAGGCGGAUCUCUGGGCCAUUACUGACGCUGAGGAGCGAAAGCGUGGGGAGCGAACAGG